RNAcentral lists this ribosomal RNA (292 nucleotides) under uncultured bacterium. RNAcentral describes it as "partial 16S ribosomal RNA". It matches the Rfam family "Bacterial small subunit ribosomal RNA", at positions 773 to 1060 of the family's 1533-position model. The record is from RNAcentral.
GUGGAUUAGAUACCCUGGUAGUCCACGCCGUAAACGAUGGGUACUAGGUGUUGCGGGUAUUGACCCCUGCAGUGCCGAAGCUAACGCAUUAAGUACCCCGCCUGGGGAGUACGGUCGCAAGACUAAAACUCAAAGGAAUUGACGGGGGCCCGCACAAGCGGUGGAGCAUGUGGUUUAAUUCGACGCAACGCGAAGAACCUUACCUGGGCUUGACAUCCCGAUCGUACCUGCUGGAAACAGUGGGGUCAGUUCGGCUGGAUCGGAGACAGGUGCUGCACGGCCGUCGUCAACU